UGCAUCGACCGGGAUCGAACCCGUAUUUUAAUAGUAUAGCCCGCGUGGCAGGCGAGCAUUCUACCACUGAAUCACCGAUGC
This is a non-coding RNA of Cordylochernes scorpioides, 81 nucleotides long. Lineage: Eukaryota; Metazoa; Arthropoda; Arachnida; Pseudoscorpiones; Chernetidae. The record is from the annotation of a GenBank genome assembly.